AAGAAAUAACAACUCGGGGCCUCACGGCUUACGAGAUUGCAAUGAGAACAAUUUAAAUCUCUUAGCGAGGAACAAUUGGAGGGCAAGUCUGGUGCCAGCAGCCGCGGUAAUUCCAGCUCCAAUAGCGUAUAUUAAAGUUGUUGCAGUUAAAAAGCUCGUAGUUGAAUUUCUGAUUAUGGAUGUAGCGGUUUCCGUUACAUUUGUAGUCAUCCACAUGAGAACCUUUCUCGGCCUUCACUGGUCGGUUGGGGGAUCAUGUACUUUACUUUGAAAAAUCAGAGUGUUUCAGGCAGGCGUUUGCAUGAAUACACAAGCAUGGAAUAAUGGAAUAGGACUAGGGUCCAUUUUAUUGGUUAUUGGACCAUAGUAAUGAUUAAUAGGGACAGUUGGGGGCAUUAGGUAUUUUAAAUUGUACAGAGGUGAAAUUCCUUUGGAUUUUAUUAAAAGACUAACUUAUGCGAAAGCAUUUGCCAAGGAUGUUUCA
Molecule: ribosomal RNA, 484 nt
Filed under: uncultured eukaryote
Lineage: Eukaryota
Description: SSU rRNA
Rfam family: Eukaryotic small subunit ribosomal RNA
Source: RNAcentral